Molecule: ribosomal RNA, 253 nt
Filed under: uncultured bacterium
Lineage: Bacteria
Description: partial 16S ribosomal RNA
Rfam family: Bacterial small subunit ribosomal RNA
Source: RNAcentral
UACGUAGGGUGCGAGCGUUGUCCGGAAUUAUUGGGCGUAAAGAGCUCGUAGGCGGUGUGUCGCGUCGGCCGUGAAAGUCCGGGGCUCAACCCCGGAUCUGCGGUGGGUACGGGCAGACUAGAGUGAUGUAGGGGAGACUGGAAUUCCUGGUGUAGCGGUGAAAUGCGCAGAUAUCAGGAGGAACACCGAUGGCGAAGGCAGGUCUCUGGGCAUUAACUGACGCUGAGGAGCGAAAGCAUGGGGAGCGAACAGG